GUGUGCUCAUAUUAACACACACACACACACACACACACACACACACACACACACACACACACACACACUGCAGUAAUUAGAGACACUUAGUGCCCUGAACCGCAGCAGCUGCUCAGCACACACACCACUAAUUGCAGCCCUGCCUGGUAUUUUUAGCGUCGCUGCCUCCGUAGCAGUAUUUUCAUCUGGCUUCUUUUUUCAGCGUGUGCGAGUGGGGCCUUUAAUUCCAACCAGCUGUGUCUUCCCUUACAGAUGUGCAGGAACACGCACCCAAGCGACCGAUCCCACCCGUCACAUCCUGACAGGUCAGAAGCACAUCUGCAACGCGAGGAGUUUGUGUGUGUGGAGAUAAUGGUGAGGAGUGAGAGACGAUGCAGAGGAGGGAGUGAAAGAACCAAGAGGGAGUGAGAAAGAAGAAGAAAAGCUGAAAGCGAGGAGCGAGCGGUCCAAACCCGGCAGAACGCGUGACAGGCCCGGAGCCCUGAUGGAUGGAGCGCACAGAAAAUGAGAGGAGCGAGUGUGUGCACACAGCUGCAGACGGAGGAACCGCGCUAGCGGGUUAUUUUCAGACCCUGCGUCUGUCGCACACGUGCAGAAACACGCGCACGCACGCACAUACACGCGCACACGCACACACACCGUGAGGGAGGAGUUAAGACCACCACCAGCAGCACCUCUGCAGACCUCACCUCGCGUCCGAGGAGCAGGCGGGCGUGUCCUUAUCGCUGGGAUAAUUACAGACGUCCGGUCGCUGCCUCCGAGUCUGUGGUGAGUGAAUGAAGCACGAACACGCACACGUGACCAUCAGCUCAGCUGGAUGUCUGGUAGUGAGGUCACGCUCCAGAACCAGCUGGACUCCAACCAGUGACCCCAGUAAUAAACACAGCAGAGGCCAGUGAGAGCACACAAACAUAAGCAGUGAUGAGCACAAACAUGUGUUACAAAACAUACAGUGACUGAUAAACACACGACACGAUGAACAAAACAUACGGUGACAACAACCACUGAUGGAGACACGAUACCAUGAAAACAUGAGCAGUGAGUGGGCUCAUACUGGAACCCCCCCCCCCACACACACACGCACCUGGAGUGAAAAGACCAGAGACGCUUUACUGCAAGCAUAUUUUAAUACAAAAACAGAACAAAAACUUUAUUUCCUCCACUCGCCUCUGCCUUCAUGUCGUCAUAGUCACUCUGAGAGGAGCAGGGCAUCAAAAGGUGCCUCCUGCGCCUGAAUCCCUCCCUCAGAGA
Molecule: long non-coding RNA, 1251 nt
Organism: Betta splendens (Siamese fighting fish)
Lineage: Eukaryota; Metazoa; Chordata; Actinopteri; Anabantiformes; Osphronemidae
Exons: 2
Source: RefSeq, a predicted model, not a curated record